GACGAACGCUGGCGGCGUGCUUAACACAUGCAAGUCGAACGGAAAGGCCUGCUUUCCCUUGUGGAUUGCGGGUACUCGAGUGGCGAACGGGUGAGUAACACGUGAGUGAUCUGCCCCCAACUUGGGUAUAAGCCUGGGAAACUGGGUCUAAUUCCCGAUAGGACUGCAGGGUGGUGCCUGUGGUGGAAAACGAUUUUCUAGUGGUUGGGGAUGAGCUCGCGGCCUAUCAGCUUGUUGGUGGGGUAAUGGCCUACCAAGGCGGCGACGGGUAGCCGGCCUGGGAGGGCGGACGGCCACAUUGGACCUGAGAGACGGCCCAGACUCCUACGGGAGGCAGCAGUGGGGAAUAUUGCGCAAUGGGCGGAAGCCUGAUGCAGCGACGCCGCGUGGGGGAUGACGGCCUUCGGGUUGUAAACUCCUUUCGACCGCGAGGAAGCCACCUGGUUGGAAGGGUGGUGACGGUAGUGGUAGAAGAAGCACCGGCUAACUACGUG
Molecule: ribosomal RNA, 494 nt
Filed under: uncultured bacterium
Lineage: Bacteria
Description: partial 16S ribosomal RNA
Rfam family: Bacterial small subunit ribosomal RNA
Source: RNAcentral